Molecule: small RNA, 782 nt
Filed under: Histoplasma capsulatum var. duboisii H88
Lineage: Eukaryota; Fungi; Ascomycota; Eurotiomycetes; Onygenales; Ajellomycetaceae
Description: Histoplasma capsulatum H88 hypothetical RNA
Rfam family: Fungal small nucleolar RNA U3 (bases 70-356)
Source: RNAcentral
UUACUUCAAGUAAGCACCCCUACAUUUGUUCAAUUUUCCGACCUGCUCUCUACAAUGGCACUGUUGCUAAUCCACCCAUCUACAGAGAAUCAUUUCUAUAGUAAAUCGUCCCACCUGAUUUUUUCGCAUUAGCGACUGAAUCCCCAACCUUGCUGAUGACCACCAUGUCCACAGCGCCCUAGAGUGAAACCUGUUAUACUCUCGUCCGCAUCGCUACGGGUUAUAUGAUGCUGGAGGCUUCGGCCACUGUUUCGUAUACUUGUCUCGAUCAAGGGAGUGGUGAUGAUCUUGACCUUGCCCUGGCGUCUUGACUUCGGUCGGCCUGGUUUGGUGGGCGCUGUGGAGGUCUGAAAGGUCCUACGCUAUUCUUCCCCCCUCUGCUGCUUCCCCGAUUUUAUCUAUCGGGGUUUUUCAUGAGUUUAUCAGGCCUGUAGCUAGCACAUUAUCUCACCGUAUAGAGAAACCAUUUGAAAUUUGAAUUCAAUUUCAGGAAAAUUAGUUUCGUCUUGCGCUACUCUGUUCAUUCUCGUAAAUCUCAUACGGUGCCGUUGACCGUCCAUUACUGAGGUCAUGGAGCAAGAAAUUUUUUCUCUUAAUUGUACUAUGGGGAAUUAAUCCCAACGACCUACGUUAUGUAUAUUCCUGUGUCGCAAUAGGUGAAUCUCAACUAUCCUCCCGUUGGUACGAUAACAUCAUUUUGUGUCUUAUAAUACAUUUAAAGUACUAGAUAUGAAUGUUGUCGCUCUUCGUCAUUUAGAGGUGCCGAUUUUAUUUCCCCCACC